GUUUUAAUAAUUUAACAUAAAAAUAUUGGUCUUGUAAACCAAAACUAAGGAAUAACCUUUUAAAACU
Molecule: transfer RNA, 67 nt
Filed under: Syntermes grandis
Lineage: Eukaryota; Metazoa; Arthropoda; Insecta; Blattodea; Termitidae
Also listed under: 3 other names
Description: tRNA-Thr
Rfam family: tRNA
About the family: Transfer RNA (tRNA) molecules are approximately 80 nucleotides in length. Their secondary structure includes four short double-helical elements and three loops (D, anti-codon, and T loops).
Source: RNAcentral